This 72-nucleotide transfer RNA is filed under the name Urocitellus parryii (Arctic ground squirrel). Its description in RNAcentral is "Spermophilus parryii (Arctic ground squirrel) tRNA". It matches the Rfam family "tRNA". Rfam says of the family: Transfer RNA (tRNA) molecules are approximately 80 nucleotides in length. Their secondary structure includes four short double-helical elements and three loops (D, anti-codon, and T loops). RNAcentral also lists the same sequence under 2 other names. Lineage: Eukaryota; Metazoa; Chordata; Mammalia; Rodentia; Sciuridae. The record is from Rfam by way of RNAcentral.
UGGGUUGUGGCUCAGUGGUAGAGUGCUUGCCUAGCAUGUGUGAGGCAUUGGGUUCGAUCCCCAGCUCCACAU